Molecule: ribosomal RNA, 465 nt
Filed under: Vreelandella stevensii
Lineage: Bacteria; Pseudomonadati; Pseudomonadota; Gammaproteobacteria; Oceanospirillales; Halomonadaceae
Description: partial 16S ribosomal RNA
Rfam family: Bacterial small subunit ribosomal RNA
Source: RNAcentral
CCUACGGGUGGCAGCAGUGGGGAAUAUUGGACAAUGGGCGAAAGCCUGAUCCAGCCAUGCCGCGUGUGUGAAGAAGGCCUUCGGGUUGUAAAGCACUUUCAGUGGGGAAGAAAGCCUUGGGGCUAAUACCCUCGAGGAAGGACAUCACCCACAGAAGAAGCACCGGCUAACUCCGUGCCAGCAGCCGCGGUAAUACGGAGGGUGCGAGCGUUAAGCGGAAUUACUGGGCGUAAAGCGCGCGUAGGCGGUCUGAUAAGCCGGUUGUGAAAGCCCCGGGCUCAACCUGGGAACGGCAUCCGGAACUGUCAGGCUAGAGUGCAGGAGAGGAAGGUAGAAUUCCCGGUGUAGCGGUGAAAUGCGUAGAGAUCGGGAGGAAUACCAGUGGCGAAGGCGGCCUUCUGGACUGACACUGACGCUGAGGUGCGAAAGCGUGGGUAGCAAACAGGAUUAGAUACCCGGGUAGUC